UACGUAGGUCCCGAGCGUUGUCCGGAUUUAUUGGGCGUAAAGCGAGCGCAGGUGGUUUAAUAAGUCUGAUGUAAAAGGCAGUGGCUCAACCAUUGUGUGCAUUGGAAACUGUUAGACUUGAGUGCAGUAGAGGAGAGUGGAAUUCCAUGUGUAGCGGUGAAAUGCGUAGAUAUAUGGAGGAACACCGGUGGCGAAAGCGGCUCUCUGGACUGUCACUGACACUGAGGCUCGAAAGCGUGGGUAGCAAUCAGG
RNAcentral lists this ribosomal RNA (252 nucleotides) under uncultured microorganism. RNAcentral describes it as "partial 16S ribosomal RNA". It matches the Rfam family "Bacterial small subunit ribosomal RNA", at positions 524 to 776 of the family's 1533-position model. The record is from RNAcentral.